GGCGGCCGCCAUGUUUCCUGAACACAAAAUGGCGACACGUGGUUAGCAUUCGUCGCCAACGAGAAAUUGGGGUCGGCCCGAAAGCUCUAGAAUGCACCCCUAUUCCUCCCCGGGGCCAUUCCCGCUCAACGAGUUUUAUGACCUAAAAAACCCCACAGGCUGGUCUGAAGAGGAAGACACUUAAAGAUGAAGUGCUUAAUUCAAGGUCACAGAAUGUCGGGGAUGGACCUCCAGAUUUCCUUACUGACCUGCAUUAUCUUGUGGAUACCUGAGUGAAUUCCACACCACCCAUUUUAUAGAUGAAGCCACUGAGACGUGGAGCAACUGACUGAGUAGUCACUGCCCCACCCCUGCCUGGAGCCUCACACAUGACUUCUCUUAGUGACCACAGGUUGGUUGAGGGGUUUAACAAGGCUAAGAAGGUGAGACGUGGUCUUGUAACACAGUGGUUAAGAAUGUGACUUUGGAGCCAGCCUGCUAGGGGCUGAAUUCUGACUCAGCCAUUUAUUAACUGUGUGACCUUAGGUCAUAGAAUUUUCCACACUCCUUGACGGAGGUUCUUAACCCUUAUCCAUCAGCAUUCUCAGACAGCACCUCCGGUUAGGGACAGUAUCUGACCGUCCGACAUCCCUGCAGCCCCCAUGCUGUCACACAGACUCAGCCUCAGGUAGAUGGUUUCCGUAGAUGGUGGCUUUCUUUGGACCCUUGAUAUCAACCAGUUACUAUUUGCUCCUGCAACCACCGCUCUACUUUCUGUCUCUAUGAACUUGACUACUCUAGACACCUCAUGGGACCAGAUGUGCAGAGGUAAUGAAUACCAGGGAAUCAGGAAACCACUGGAUCAGUUCUUUGAGCCAUAGAACAACACUCAUCCCAGCAGCUGGGAAGCUAUCUGCAAAAGUCCAUCUGCAGAAAGGGCUUCCUGGUCUUGCGUGUGGCUGGGCCAUUUCUCUGGAUGCAGGUUUUUCAUUAUACAGUCUUCUCAAAGGACCACCUGCUCUCAACACCUUCUCGGUGACUCCAUUUCCCCUCCUCU
RNAcentral lists this non-coding RNA (1036 nucleotides) under Pongo abelii (Sumatran orangutan). The record is from RNAcentral. Lineage: Eukaryota; Metazoa; Chordata; Mammalia; Primates; Hominidae.